This 548-nucleotide unclassified non-coding RNA is filed under the name Metschnikowia sp. JSKim-2014. RNAcentral's name for it is "partial contains 18S rRNA, ITS1, 5.8S rRNA, and ITS2". The stretch from base 198 to 351 matches the Rfam family "5.8S ribosomal RNA". The record is from RNAcentral. Lineage: Eukaryota; Fungi; Ascomycota; Pichiomycetes; Serinales; Metschnikowiaceae.
CUGCGGAAGGAUCAUUAAAGAGUAAGGGUGCUCAGCGCCCGACCUCCAACCCUUUGUUGUUAAAACUACCUUGUUGCUUUGGCGGGACCGCUCGGUCUCGAGCCGCUGGGGAUUCGUCCCAGGCGAGCGCCCGCCAGAGUUAAACCAAACUCUUGUUAUUUAACCGGUCGUCUGAGUUAAAAUUUUGAAUAAAUCAAAACUUUCAACAACGGAUCUCUUGGUUCUCGCAUCGAUGAAGAACGCAGCGAAAUGCGAUAAGUAAUGUGAAUUGCAGAAUUCAGUGAAUCAUCGAAUCUUUGAACGCACAUUGCGCCCCUUGGUAUUCCGAGGGGCAUGCCUGUUCGAGCGUCAUUACACCACUCAAGCUAUGCUUGGUAUUGGGCGUCGUCCUUAGUUGGGCGCGCCUUAAAGACCUCGGCGAGGCCACUCCGGCUUUAGGCGUAGUAGAAUUUAUUCGAACGUCUGUCAAAGGAGAGGAACUCUGCCGACUGAAACCUUUAUUUUUCUAGGUUGACCUCGGAUCAGGUAGGGAUACCCGCUGAACUUAA